Molecule: ribosomal RNA, 478 nt
Filed under: uncultured bacterium
Lineage: Bacteria
Description: partial 16S ribosomal RNA
Rfam family: Bacterial small subunit ribosomal RNA
Source: RNAcentral
GACGAACGCUGGCGGCGUGCUUAACACAUGCAAGUCGAACGGUAAGGCCCUUCGGGGUACACGAGUGGCGAACGGGUGAGUAACACGUGGGUGAUCUGCCCUGCACUUCGGGAUAAGCCUGGGAAACUGGGUCUAAUACCGGAUAGGACUCCUGCCUGCAUGGGUGGGGGUGGAAAGUUUUUGCGGUGUGGGAUGGGCCCGAGGCCUAUCAGCUUGUUGGUGGGGUGAAGGCCUACCAAGGCGACGACGGGUAGCCGGCCUGAGAGGGUGACCGGCCAGACUGCGACUGAGAUACGGCCCAGACUCCUACGGGAGGCAGCAGUGGGGAAUAUUGCACAAUGGGCGCAAGCCUGAUGCAGCGACGCCGCGUGAGGGAUGACGGACUUCGGGUUGUAAACCUCUUUCAGCACAGACGAAGCGCAAGUGACGGUAUGUGCAGAAGAAGGACCGGCCAACUACGUGCCAGCCGCCGCGGUAA